Molecule: long non-coding RNA, 1383 nt
Organism: Alligator mississippiensis (American alligator)
Lineage: Eukaryota; Metazoa; Chordata; Crocodylia; Alligatoridae
Exons: 2
Source: RefSeq, a predicted model, not a curated record
CAGGGCUCAGGCCAGAACUAUGUAAGCCGUGGUCUGAGCUAGUCAGAGGGGCCCAGGCUGGGACAGAGGGUGUACUCCUGAAGGCUCCAAGCAAAGCUGCAGCAGCCCUACAAGUGAGAACAACAGGCAGCCGGACUCAGAAGGCACAGUUCAGAUUGAUUAAAGCAACUGCCACUGAAUUGGGCCCAACACAGUGGGUCUAAGCUGGACAGCUUAGAUUCAUAAAAAGGAGUGGAAGCUGUGUUGGCUGAGACCCCAACAGAGUGAACAAGAGAGGCAGAUAACACCUGCAAGGCACAGAGCAUGGAGCAGAACUUUAUGGCUGACAAGGAAGCAUAUCAGAUCACGUGAGGAAGGAAGGCUUUUGAAGAACUCUCCAGGGCAGGAGCAAAGGAAAGCUUACAGAACCAAGCUGAUGCUACCCCUGUGCUCUUUUCUUCUUAUCUUAUCCAGAAGUGAACUUGUGGCUAUUUGACCUGAGAGAACACCUCCUGCAUCCUUCAGUUUCUAACUCUCCCUCCUUACUUUCCCUUUCUUAUACCAUUGCAGAGUUCAGGGAAGCCUUUCCACAUCAAAUGAACAUGAGUGCAGUUGCUUUUGGGGUGGAAGAGGUAAAUGGUGGGGCUCCACAGGGGACUGGUGCUGUUUAACAUAUUCAUAAAUAAUCUGUACAAGGGGAUGAAUAAUAGGAAGGUGGCCAAAUUUGCAGAUGACAAUAUUAUUCGAAGUGAUAAAGGCCAAGGUGAACUGGGAACAACUACAGAAGAUUCUGGCACUGUUAAGCAAAUGGGCAACUAGAUGGCAAAUUAAAUUCCACGUAGCUAAGUGUAAAGUGAUACAUAUGACCAAAAAUAACCCAAAUUAUACCUACACUAUGACGGGCUCUAUAUUAGCUGGUACAACACAGAAAAGAAAUCUGCUAAAACAUAAGCUCAGUGCUCAGCAGCUGUCAAAAAGGCAAACCAAAUGUUAGGAAUUAAGAGAAGGGAACUGUAAGCAAAACAAGAAGGAUCAUCAUAGCCCUUUUAAAUCCAUGGUGCACCCAUAUCUUGAAUACUAUGCGCAGUUUUAGUCUCCAUACCUCAAAAAGAAUAUAGAAGAAUUAUAGUAGGUACAGAGACGAGCAAUAGGAUGAUUAUGGCGUGGCUUUCAUAUUAAGAGAGAUUAAAGAGGUUAGGCCUAUUCAGUUUAGAAAUGAGAUUUAUGAUGGAGGACAUAUUAAGGGUUUACAAAACACUAAAUGGUGAAACAAAAGUGAAUAGGGAUUUAUUAUUUACUCUCUCUCACAAUACAAGAACUAGGGUCAUAAAAUGAACCCGAAAGGUAAUAACUUUAAAACUAACAGGGAAUCCAUGGUGUGUAAUUAAAGUGUGUCACUCAUUA